This 483-nucleotide ribosomal RNA is filed under the name uncultured bacterium. RNAcentral's name for it is "bacterial SSU rRNA". It matches the Rfam family "Bacterial small subunit ribosomal RNA", at positions 28 to 507 of the family's 1533-position model. The record is from RNAcentral.
GAUGAACGCUAGCUACAGGUUUAACACAUGCAAGUCGAGGGGUUCCAAAGGAGCUUGCUUCUUUGGGACGACCGGCGCACGGGUGAGUAACGCGUAUCCAACCUGCCCUUCAUAUUGGUAUAGCCUCCCGAAAGGGAGAUUAAUCCCGAAUAACAUAUUUUGGUUUCCUGAUUAGAAUAUGAAAGCUCCGGCGAUGAAGGAUGGGGAUGCGUUCCAUUAGGUAGAUGGCGGGUAACGGCCCACCAUGCCUACGAUGUCUAGGGGUUCUGAGAGGAAGGUCCCCCACACUGGAACUGAGACACGGUCCAGACUCCUACGGGAGCAGCAGUGAGGAAUAUUGGUCAAUGGCCGGAAGGCUGAACCAGCCAAGUAGCGUGAAGGAUGAAGGUUCUAUGGAUUGUAAACUUCUUUAUACGGGAAUAAAACCACCUACGUGUAGGUGCUUGUAUGUACCGUAUGAAUAAGCAAUCGGCUAACUCCGUG